Homo sapiens (human) is the source of this 2034-nucleotide RNA transcript. It is a transcript of the gene named zinc and ring finger 2 pseudogene 1, with no coding region annotated. The record is from RefSeq and is marked provisional. The transcript has a single exon. NCBI's taxonomy places the organism in Eukaryota, Metazoa, Chordata, Mammalia, Primates, Hominidae.
GGGGGAGCGAAGCCACGGUUGCCGGGAAGCGCGGGCCACCCCUCCCUCCCUCUCAUUCUUCGUCCUCCCCUCGCGCGCCACCCGUUUUUCCUCUUUCUCCGUUAAUAACGGCUGGGUGGCUGGGGGAGGAGGGAAGGUGGCUCCGGCGGAGUCUGGGCGGGCGCCUCCCACUCAGCCGCCAGUCGCCGUGGGAGCCGGAGGAUGGCGGCGGUAACAGCGGCCGCCGGAGAGGAGGCGGUGGGGAGGCCCGGGGCGCCAAGCGCGACGGCAGAAAGCGGCAGCGGCCCGUCAUGGCGCACCGAAACCAGCGGCAGUCGCACGGCCACCUGAGUCGCCCCUUCCUGCUGGAGCCAGCGAGGGGUGCCUGCAGCCGGGACACCUUCCUCUCCGCGUCUCCUCGUCUCCCGCGCCCGCGUCAGGCCGCCAGCCUUGCCCACCGCCCCGAGAAGAGCGCGCCGGGCGCCGACUGCCCCUCGGGGCGCCGAGCGGCGGCCCUGGACGUGCGGGGGCCUCUCUGGGCCGGCCGCGGCGCCUCGGCCCUGCCCUCUAGCUCCCGCGUUCGCUCCUACCCUCUUGGCUCUCGGGGCACAGCGCGCGGCCCGGUCCGGAGCAGGGCGGACAGGAGCGCCAGGCAGAGCGGCCUGGCCGCCGCUAACGGCGCACGCGCGCGUACUCGGCUCGGAUCUACCUUCCAGUAGCAGCGGAGUGGCCAAUGGGACCGGGACCAGGGCUGGGGGCCGGGGGGCCGCCGCCGCGGGGAGGUUCCCGGCUCAGGUGCCCAGCGCUCACCAGCCCAGCGCCUCGGGCGGCGCCGCGGUGGCCCCGGCAGCCCCGCGCAGCUGUUUCCUGGGGGGCGUGGCGUCGGGGGCCCGCGCGGCGCAGUCCUCCUUCAGCAUCCCGAACAGCAGCAGCGGUCCGCAGGACUCGCAGGACUCGGUGCACAGCAGCCCUGAGGAUGGCGGCGGCGGCGGCCAGCACCGGCCGGUGGGCGGGAGCCCCGGCGGGCCGCGCCUGGUGAUCGGCUCCUUACCAGCUCACCUCUCACCGCGCAUGUUUGGAGGUACGGACCCCUCUCCACGCGCCCGCGCUCGGUUCUCCCGCGGCUGCACGUGGGCCGUGGCCGCCGGCUAUUUUUACCGUUCUCCUUUUCUCCUUCCGCCGGGGCGCCGGGGGCUGCUUCCCGGCCCAGCCCGCCAGGGGCUGCUUCCCGGCCCAGCCCGCGCCGGUCUCCAUCCUGGGAAGAAACCCGGCACGUAACACCUGCGGUGUCGCUGCCGCGUAGACACGUGGUUUUGUUUUUAAACAUCGUGAGCACCCACACCUCAGCGGGUACUCAGUAGAGAUAGUCUAUUUUCCAGUGAGUUGACUGGAGCAAAUGUUGUUUUACAGCAAACCCACGAAAUAGCCCUUGUGGUUGUGGCUUUUAGUACCAGGAAGUCAGGAGGAGACGGUUGCUAAAUGUAGUUCUAUCUGGGGACUCGAGUGGGGCACAAUUUUUAAAAGCCAAAAGUCAGAGGGUCUCAAAUGAACUCUGAGUUACCAUCUUUGGACCGACUUUUAAUAUAAAGCUGUAAUCCUUAAAUCUGUGUCAGUAGUCCCACUUACUAUGUCACUUUAAUUGGAUGAAUGCGUUAAUGAAAAGUUUGUUUUCAAACCUCACUAAACUGCUACUUAAGAUCACAGUUAAUGUGAGUCCUGCUUAAUUUGGAAAGCAUUUAAAAAAUGGAAAAGUUUCUUAGGGAAGUAAAAAUUUUGCAACUCUGCCUACAAGGUACAGUAAUUGGCUAGGUUCUUUUGAAGAGCAGUGUUGACUAGAGUUAAGGAAAAGUCAGUUGUGAAAAAUGGACAUUUUUAAUAGCAAAAUGAUGUGCUUUACUGUAGAAACAGGAGGAAGGGUGCAUUAUCCUGGGGAAAAUGAAUUCUUCAGUUAUGUUUUAUGCUGCUCUACUUUAUUGCAAAACGCUAAUAUUAAAUGAAUCAAGACCACCUCCCCUUCCCGCUUUAUGAAAAUAAAUAGAAGUAUAGAAGAUAAGC